This 235-nucleotide small nuclear RNA is filed under the name Notamacropus eugenii (tammar wallaby). Its description in RNAcentral is "7SK RNA (ENSMEUG00000018245.1)". It matches the Rfam family "7SK RNA". Rfam says of the family: 7SK was discovered as an abundant small nuclear RNA in the mid-70s but a possible function has only recently been suggested. Two independent studies have found that 7SK RNA binds the CDK9/cyclin T complex (known as elongation factor P-TEFb). Lineage: Eukaryota; Metazoa; Chordata; Mammalia; Diprotodontia; Macropodidae. The record is from RNAcentral.
AGGUCCUUCUGACUCCAGGGCCAGUGUCCUAUCCACUGCAUCGCCCAGCUGCCCUGUGUGCACUCUUCCUGAAGCUGUUCUCUUAAUUAAGGAGCAAAUCCUUUCCUUAUAGAGGAGGUACAUUGUUUAGUUUGAGUAUCUGUGUUUUCCUACUAGCACUUUUCAAAUAAGAUCUCAAGGAUCAUUUGCAAGUAGAAAAAUACCUUGCUUCCAUUUCUCUGAGUUGUGAAUCUGG